GCCCCUGUGGCGGAAUUGGUAGACGCGGCAGACUCAAAAUCUGUUGUCCGCAAGGACGUGGGAGUUCGAGUCUCCCCGGGGGCACCA
Molecule: transfer RNA, 87 nt
Filed under: Alphaproteobacteria bacterium
Lineage: Bacteria; Pseudomonadati; Pseudomonadota; Alphaproteobacteria
Also listed under: 1 other name
Description: tRNA-Leu
Rfam family: tRNA
About the family: Transfer RNA (tRNA) molecules are approximately 80 nucleotides in length. Their secondary structure includes four short double-helical elements and three loops (D, anti-codon, and T loops).
Source: RNAcentral